CAGCCGCCGCGGUAAUACCGGCGGCCCGAGUGGUGGCCGCUAUUAUUGGGCUUAAAGCGUCCGUAGCCGGGUUGGUUAGUCUCCCGGGAAAUCUGGCCGCUUAACGGUCAGAAUUCCGGGAGAUACUGCCAGCCUAGGGACCGGGAGAGGCCGAGGGUAUUCCCGGAGUAGGGGUGAAAUCCUAUAAUCCCGGGAGGACCACCUGUGGCGAAGGCGCUCGGCUGGAACGGGUCCGACGGUGAGGGACGAAGGCCAGGGGAGCAAACCGGAUUAGAUACCCGGGUAGUCCUGGCGGUAAACGAUGCGGACUUUGUGUCGGACAAGCUAUGAGCUUGUCCGGUGCCGGAGGGAAACCGUUAAGUCCGCCGCCUGGGGAGUACGGCCGCAAGGCUGAAACUUAAAGGAAUUGGCGGG
This 414-nucleotide ribosomal RNA is filed under the name uncultured microorganism. RNAcentral describes it as "bacterial SSU rRNA". It matches the Rfam family "Archaeal small subunit ribosomal RNA", at positions 459 to 872 of the family's 1478-position model. The record is from RNAcentral.